Molecule: long non-coding RNA, 313 nt
Filed under: Trifolium pratense (red clover)
Lineage: Eukaryota; Viridiplantae; Streptophyta; Magnoliopsida; Fabales; Fabaceae
Description: long non-coding RNA (TPRA_LNC002189)
Source: RNAcentral
UAACACUAUGUUUGGAUGCCAAAGAGAUAGGGAAGAGAGAAAUAGUGAAGAGAGAAAUAAGAGAGAAGAGAGAUAGAAGAGAAAUUGGAUAGAAAUUUUAUAUGGUUUGGAUGAAUAGAAAAGUGAGAAGAGAGAAAUUAAUAAAAAUGAGAAAAUAACAAAUUUACCCUUUUCUACAAGAAAAUAAAUUAGGUGAAUGAGAGUAUUGUUGUAAAAUUGUUUAUUUCACUUCUUGUCACACAAAUCUCUCCUAAUAUGGAGAGAUUUAUUUUUGGCAGUUAUUAAUCAUUAUAUUUCUCUCUUUCCUUAUUUC